Non-coding RNA from Macaca mulatta (Rhesus monkey), 970 nucleotides. The record is from RefSeq and is a predicted model, not a curated record. Lineage: Eukaryota; Metazoa; Chordata; Mammalia; Primates; Cercopithecidae.
GUCCUCAGCCUCUUGGGUAGCUGGGACCACAGGCGCGUGCCACCACCAUGCCCAGCUCUUUCUCAGUUUAACUGUGGUUAAAACUGGUGUUUGGGGGCAAUGAGAGAGACCCGCGAAAAAUGGGAAACAAGGGAUAGGGCUGACCUCUUUUGCGGACAAAGAAAAAUAAAACAAAGCUUCCUCAGAAAACUAAGUUGCCUCACAGCCGCCUGGUAUCAGGAAGCACUGAGCCCGCCCAACGCGGGCUCCUCCCCGAGCAGGCCGCCCUUGUCCGCCCGGAGCUGGGGAGGGGGGGGCGGCCGCGGGACCACGUGGCCCAGAGCGCCCUUCCUGCGCCGCCAGCGGUGGCGGGGCCGGGCGCGCCUGCUGAGCGGGGCGGGACGCGGACUCCCAGGCUCUGCGGAGAGCGGCUGCCACCGGCCUCUGAUUUUUUCUUGAGACCUAGUCUGGCUCUGUGGCUCAGGUUGGAGUGCGGUGGUGUGAUCACGGCUCACUGCAGCCUCAGCCUCUUCUCGCCUCAACCGCUCCGGUAACUGGGACCACGAACGGGUGCUACCACCCCCGGCUACAUUUUUUGUAUUUUUAGUGGAGACGGGGGUCUCUCCAUGUUGGCUAGGCUGCUCCCGAACUCCGGAGCUCAAGCGACCGACCGGCCUGCCUGGGCCUCCCAAAGUGCUGAGACUGCAGGCAUGAGCCACCGCGCCCGGCCGAGAGCCUCUUUUGGCUACUCCUCGCCUUUCCGGGGCCAGGCGUGUGCAGCUCAGUGGAGAAGGGUCCCUGCCCUCUACGAGACGUCCUGGUUGCCGAGGUCAGAGGCGCGGAGAACGGGAGACCUGAGGUCUCAACUGCUUCUUACCAAUGUUAAUUCCACCGACUACUAUCAGAAUCUGAUGAGCAAUCCACUCAUCAGAUAAGCUGUUUCUACACUGUCCUGAAUGACCAUAUUAUAGAUGCUGGGAAAAAAAUUGUA